Molecule: ribosomal RNA, 437 nt
Filed under: uncultured bacterium
Lineage: Bacteria
Description: partial 16S ribosomal RNA
Rfam family: Bacterial small subunit ribosomal RNA
Source: RNAcentral
ACGGGAGGCAGCAGUGGGGAAUAUUGGGCAAUGGGCGGAAGCCUGACCCAGCAACGCCGCGUGAGGGAAGAAGGUUUUCGGAUUGUAAACCUCUGUCCUUGGUGACGAAGGAAGUGACGGUAGCCAAGGAGGAAGCCCCGGCUAACUACGUGCCAGCAGCCGCGGUAAUACGUAGGGGGCGAGCGUUGUCCGGAAUGACUGGGCGUAAAGGGCGUGUAGGCGGCGCUGUAAGUCCGGAGUGAAAGUCCUGCUUUCAAGGUGGGAAUUGCUUUGGAGACUGCAGAGCUUGAGUACGGAAGAGGUAAGUGGAAUUCCCGGUGUAGCGGUGAAAUGCGUAGAGAUCGGGAGGAACACCAGUGGCGAAGGCGACUUACUGGGCCGUAACUGACGCUGAGGCGCGAAAGCGUGGGGAGCGAACAGGAUUAGAUACCCUGGUA